Long non-coding RNA from Paramisgurnus dabryanus, 1112 nucleotides. RefSeq lists it as uncharacterized. NCBI's taxonomy places the organism in Eukaryota, Metazoa, Chordata, Actinopteri, Cypriniformes, Cobitidae. The record is from RefSeq and is a predicted model, not a curated record.
UUGGAUUUUUUUUGGUGAUGCAUUGCUAAUUUUCAACUUUUCUCUUUAAAGUUUUCAUGCAAUAACCACUGGGGCAGAAACCAUGACGUUGCCUUGGACUUCAAACUAAACCAUCUCAUUCUGGCUUUUUUCUAACCUCGAAAUCUCAGAAGGACAGGUCUAAGAUGGACGCAGCCUCCAUAGGAUGCAACCUUGCAUUUGAGAAACACCCAUAGAACGGUCAACUUACCCCAUACUCUAACCUGAAUGCAGGGAUCAUAAAACUUUAUCUUUUACCUUAAUUGUUAGAUGGGUGUUGAUACCAAAUUUUUUUUUCUCGUCUACCCAGGAGAAAGUCAUGGGUUCUGCUGCUGAGGUUGUCAUAAAGCAUGCUUUUUUCCAUUUGUUGCAUUUGGCAAUAUUAUCAAAAGAUUCUGAAAGAAAUAAGAUAAUUUUCAAAGCAUUAACAUGAAUAUGAAAGUCAUUAAUGACCAUCUUUUAUUAUUGUUUAUUUACAGUGUCUUUUAUUCUGCUUACCUGACUCAUGCAGAAUUCUGGCUUAAUGUUUGGUCCACCUGUUAGCUGGCUCUGGUGCUUGGUAGUCUUCUCAAACCUCUGAAUCAAGGCCACCAUGAGAGGCAUUCUGAAGACCAUCAUUACGCUGCAGAUCCAGUGGUCUUUACUAUGAGAUAGAACUGAACUGGAGUCUGUGAACUAAUGCUGUGUUCGAGACAACUUGGAUGUUGGAUAUUAUUGACCUCAAACCCGUAAGAAGUCUGGAACAGCAAACAAAGUUGAGUAUCCGACCUCUCAACUUGGGACAGAUCGAUCAACACCGACCUCAACGAGAUGCAUCAUUUGACAUUGCAGACAAGAUCCUUUCUCUUUUUUUAUGCAGCUCUUAAGGAUGAACCACCCUGAUCUACUAAGAUGCACAGAUUCAACUCUGGCCCAGCAUCAUCCCCACACCUCAUCUGCCAUCAGUUUAAUUUAAUGUCUGUCAAUUGCAAAUGCUAUUUAUUUCAGUUAUAUUACAACUUAAUAUUAACUUUAAUUGAGACUAGUAUUGUGUAAAGCUGGGGUUUCCAAACUUUUCAUUUUAAAACCUAUUAGACAAGUGUAAUCUAUUCUAG